Molecule: ribosomal RNA, 200 nt
Filed under: uncultured bacterium
Lineage: Bacteria
Description: partial 16S ribosomal RNA
Rfam family: Bacterial small subunit ribosomal RNA
Source: RNAcentral
GACGAACGCUGGCGGCGUGCUUAACACAUGCAAGUCGAACGAUGAACCACUUCGGUGGGGAUUAGUGGGCGAACGGGUGAGUAACACGUGGGCAAUCUGCCCUUCACUCUGGGACAAGGCCCUGGAAACGGGGUCUAAUACCGGAUAACACUGCCACGGGCAGUCUGUGGUGGUUAAAAGCUCCGGCGGUGAAGGAUGAG